Clupea harengus (Atlantic herring) is the source of this 572-nucleotide long non-coding RNA. The record is from Ensembl. NCBI's taxonomy places the organism in Eukaryota, Metazoa, Chordata, Actinopteri, Clupeiformes, Clupeidae.
CAGAUGUUUGCGGUGGUUAGAGUAGAAAGGGUUCCUAAUAAGGCAUUCGAUGCUGGAUUAUAGUUGUUUAAAAUCCUAAUACAGCUGUUGUCCGUCUAAAAUAAACCUAAAACGGCUGCAGAAUAUGCCCGACACUGAGCAUUAUGAGGCUAUGACCCCGACUGACCGACGCCUAACAUAAGUUUAUCUGGAGCUCCCGUUUUCUAGAAAUGUCCUGCUGGGUUUCCAUUGCAAAAGACAGCUGAGGUCUACAAUGUCAGGAUCUACUGAACCAUCACAACUACUCAUGGCAGUGAAGAAUAUAAAAGAAGAAGAAUCUGAUCAUUUCCUACAAGAGUAUCUGUUUGAAAUUCAGACAGUGGAAGAAAAGCCUGAACUGGAUCAUGACUGUAAGACUGAGAUGCACACAUCACCAACCUUGAGCUGCAAAGAAGAAAAUUCUUCUCUGAUCGAUAUUAAAGAGGAACCAGAUUUAAGAGAAUGUGGUGAUGACGAUUCUUCUACAAAACUAAAGUCAAGAAUGUCUGGAUUUACUGAACCUUCACAACUGCCGACUUCAGUGAAGAAGGAGA